Molecule: ribosomal RNA, 542 nt
Filed under: Bifidobacterium dentium
Lineage: Bacteria; Bacillati; Actinomycetota; Actinomycetes; Bifidobacteriales; Bifidobacteriaceae
Description: bacterial SSU rRNA
Rfam family: Bacterial small subunit ribosomal RNA
Source: RNAcentral
UGGUAAUGCCGGAUGCUCCGGUUGGAUGCAUGUCCUUCCGGGAAAGGUUCCAUCGGUAUGGGAUGGGGUCGCGUCCUAUCAGCUUGAUGGCGGGGUAACGGCCCACCAUGGCUUCGACGGGUAGCCGGCCUGAGAGGGCGACCGGCCACAUUGGGACUGAGAUACGGCCCAGACUCCUACGGGAGGCAGCAGUGGGGAAUAUUGCACAAUGGGCGCAAGCCUGAUGCAGCGACGCCGCGUGCGGGAUGGAGGCCUUCGGGUUGUAAACCGCUUUUGAUCGGGAGCAAGCCCUUCGGGGUGAGUGUACCUUUCGAAUAAGCACCGGCUAACUACGUGCCAGCAGCCGCGGUAAUACGUAGGGUGCAAGCGUUAUCCGGAAUUAUUGGGCGUAAAGGGCUCGUAGGCGGUUCGUCGCGUCCGGUGUGAAAGCCCAUCGCUUAACGGUGGGUCUGCGCCGGGUACGGGCGGGCUGGAGUGCGGUAGGGGAGACUGGAAUUCCCGGUGUAACGGUGGAAUGUGUAGAUAUCGGAAAAGAAACACCA